This 274-nucleotide ribosomal RNA is filed under the name uncultured bacterium. RNAcentral describes it as "partial 16S ribosomal RNA". It matches the Rfam family "Bacterial small subunit ribosomal RNA", at positions 523 to 796 of the family's 1533-position model. The record is from RNAcentral.
AUACGGAGGGUGCAAGCGUUAUUCGGAAUCACUGGGCGUACAGGACGCGUAGGCGGGUUUGUAAGUCAGGUGUGAAAUCCUACAGCUUAACUGUAGAACUGCACUUGAAACUACAGACCUAGAGUAUGGGAGGGGCAGAUGGAAUUAGUGGUGUAGGGGUAAAAUCCGUAGAUAUCACUAGGAAUACCGAAAGCGAAGGCGAUCUGCUGGAACAUAACUGACGCUAAGGCGUGAAAGCGUGGGGAGCAAACAGGAUUAGAUACCCUAGUAGUCC